This 464-nucleotide ribosomal RNA is filed under the name uncultured bacterium. RNAcentral describes it as "partial 16S ribosomal RNA". It matches the Rfam family "Bacterial small subunit ribosomal RNA", at positions 29 to 507 of the family's 1533-position model. The record is from RNAcentral.
AUUGAACGCUGGCGGCAGGCCUAACACAUGCAAGUCGAGCGGAUGAAGGGAGCUAGCUCCUGGAUUCAGCGGCGGACGGGUGAGUAAUGCCUAGGAAUCUGCCUGGUAGUGGGGGAUAACGUCCGGAAACGGGCGCUAAUACCGCAUACGUCCUGAGGGAGAAAGUGGGGGAUCUUCGGACCUCACGCUAUCAGAUGAGCCUAGGUCCUAUUAGCUAGUUGGUGGGGUAAAGGCCUACCAAGGCGACGAUCGGUAACUGGUCUGAGAGGAUGAUCGGUCACAAUGGGACUGAGGGACGGCCCAGACUCCUAGGGGAGGGAGCAGUGGGGAAUAUUGAACAAUGGGCGGAAGGCUGAUGCAGCGACGCCGCGUGGGGGAUGACGUCCUUCGGGUUGGAAACCCCUUUCGCCAGGGACGAAGCGCAAGUGACGGUACCUGGAGAAGAAGCACCGGCUAACUACGUG